CAACCUAUGCAGUGAUGUAUAGCUGAACCUUGAGAAGUCAGCAGAGGUCAUAGUACCUAUCAAAACCUAGGAUAGAUAGGGAAGGAC
This is a non-coding RNA of Caloranaerobacter azorensis H53214, 87 nucleotides long. The record is from Rfam. Lineage: Bacteria; Bacillati; Bacillota; Tissierellia; Tissierellales; Thermohalobacteraceae.